GACAGAGGGGGCAAGCGUUGCUCGGAAUCACUGGGCGUAAAGGGCGCGUAGGCGGGGUGGCAAGUCGGUCGUGAAAGCCCGUGGCUCAACCGAGGAGGGUCGGCCGAUACUGCCAUUCUUGGGGGAUGCAGAGGAGACUGGAAUUCCCGGUGUAGCGGUGAAAUGUGUAGAGAUCGGGAGGAACACCGGUGGCGAAGGCGGGUCUCUGGGCAUUACCUGACGCUGAGGCGCGAAAGCGUGGGGAGCAAACGGGAUUAGAUACCCCGGUAGUCCACGCUGUAAACGAUGACGACUAGGUGUGGGGGGGUUCAGUCCCUUCCGUGCCGCAGCUAACGCAUUAAGUCGUCCGCCUGGGGAGUACGGCCGCAAGGUUGAAACUUAAAUGAAUUGACGG
RNAcentral lists this ribosomal RNA (394 nucleotides) under uncultured bacterium. Its description in RNAcentral is "bacterial SSU rRNA". It matches the Rfam family "Bacterial small subunit ribosomal RNA", at positions 524 to 916 of the family's 1533-position model. The record is from RNAcentral.